UACGGGAGGCAGCAGUGGGGAAUAUUGCACAAUGGGCGCAAGCCUGAUGCAGCCAUGCCGCGUGUAUGAAGAAGGCCUUCGGGUUGUAAAGUACUUUCAGUCGUGAGGAAGGUGUUAAGGUUAAUAACCUUAGCAAUUGACGUUAGCGACAGAAGAAGCACCGGCUAACUCCGUGCCAGCAGCCGCGGUAAUACGGAGGGUGCGAGCGUUAAUCGGAAUUACUGGGCGUAAAGGGCACGCAGACGGUUAUUAAGUUGGAUGUGAAAUCCCCGGGCUUAACCUGGGAAUGGCAUUCAAGACUGGUUAGCUAGAGUCUUGUAGAGGGGGUAGAAUUCCAUGUGUAGCGGUGAAAUGCGUAGAGAUGUGGAGGAAUACCGGUGGCGAAGGCGGCCCCUGGACAAAGACUGACGCUCAUGUGCGAAAGCGUGGGGAGCAAACAGGGAUUAGAUACC
This 452-nucleotide ribosomal RNA is filed under the name uncultured bacterium. RNAcentral describes it as "bacterial SSU rRNA". It matches the Rfam family "Bacterial small subunit ribosomal RNA", at positions 340 to 786 of the family's 1533-position model. The record is from RNAcentral.